This 233-nucleotide ribosomal RNA is filed under the name uncultured Lactobacillus sp. RNAcentral's name for it is "partial 16S ribosomal RNA". It matches the Rfam family "Bacterial small subunit ribosomal RNA", at positions 128 to 354 of the family's 1533-position model. The record is from RNAcentral. Lineage: Bacteria; Bacillati; Bacillota; Bacilli; Lactobacillales; Lactobacillaceae.
GCCCAAGAGAUCGGGAUAACACCUGGAAACAGAUGCUAAUACCGGAUAACAACAGAUGAUGCCUAUCAACUGUUUAAAAGAUGGUUCUGCUAUCACUCUUGGAUGGACCUGCGGUGCAUUAGCUAGUUGGUAGGGUAACGGCCUACCAAGGCGAUGAUGCAUAGCCAGUUGAGAGACUGAUCGGCCACAUUGGGACUGAGACACGGCCCAAACUCCUACGGGAGGCAGCAGGU